CUUGGAAGCCACUGUCAAACUCUGCAAGCAUCUUAAUUGCAUGGACUUGAUCAAGUACUAAUUUCCCAGCUGGAUUCCCAUCUUUCUGCAGCUUAUCUUCUUUUUUUACUUCUUUUUCUUAGGUGUUUUACAAGGCAUAGGACACUUUACCUCCAUGAUGUGGACUAAGCUCUUGUUUUCUAAAGUUUAUGGUUUGCAGGGAGGCAAAGUGAGAGCACUUCUGGGCAGCUGGAAUUCAUGGCAGAAGACGUGGCUGCAUAAAUGCUGCUCUGCUUCGACAUGAACUCAAAAAAGACUGUAAGAAUUACCUGUUCUUACCUGGCAAGGGAAAAGGAGAAAGAAAAGUGAGCUGCCAGCAACCAUUCUCCUUUGCAGUCCCAGAAAGGGAUAGUCUUGCCAUUUUAAAAAGUAGACUCUAGUCUUAAGAAGCUCUCAGUAACUUCUAGAGAGCCAAAACAGGUAAUAAUGUUAAGAAUUAAUAGUAGGAUGCUCCCAAUGUUUCUUAAGUUUAAUGAUGGAACUAGAAGUGGUGAUCUGAAUUGCAGAUGGUAGUCGUUCUUUCCUCUCUGAUUUGGCUUUGAUAGUUCCUUUGAUGUAGAAGAACUGUGAGCUUAAUUUGCAUAACAUUACUCCCACUCUUAUCAGUCUGCUGAUGAGAUAUCUUUAUUAAAUUUUUCACUAUUUCAGGAUUAUUUAAAUAUUUUCUGAUUUUAUAGUGAUAUUCUGCUUUACUACAUAGGGAGCCUACUGAUAAACAUCUGGUACCUUAUGAAUUUUGAUAGCUUUAGUAUGGUAUUUUAAAUUUUUCUCCUGUUACAAAUUACUCCACUCCAUCAGAAAUUACUACCAUUCUUAAUUGACAUGCAAUGUCUUUUCAGGAAAUGGCAACUGGAGAUGAUUAAAUGAGUACCAGAAUAAAAAGUAUGAACAAGUUCAAUUGAAUAUCUCCAAAAAAAUCUUUUCAUGCUGGGCAAAAAAGAAUAAUAAAGAUGUGUUUUGAUUUUAAAGAAGAACCAGUUUUUGUCCAGAAAAUAAAUAAAGUUUUUUGAAACUCAGUUAAACAUGAAAUGCACAGUUGCUAUUCUUAUUUUCCUUAAUUUAUACAGUUAUACUACAAUAAAACAUCACUCAGUUC
Molecule: long non-coding RNA, 1135 nt
Organism: Taeniopygia guttata (zebra finch)
Lineage: Eukaryota; Metazoa; Chordata; Aves; Passeriformes; Estrildidae
Source: RefSeq, a predicted model, not a curated record